GACGAACGCUGGCGGCGUGCCUAACACAUGCAAGUCGAGCGAAUGAAGUUCCUUCGGGACUGGAUUUAGCGGCGGACGGGUGAGUAACACGUGGGCAACCUGCCUCAUAGAGGGGAAUAGCCUUCCGAAAGGGAGAAUAAUACCGCAUAAGAUUGUAGUAUCGCAUGAUACAGCAAUUAAAGGAGCAAUCCGCUAUGAGAUGGGCCCGCGGCGCAUUAGCUAGUUGGUGAGGUAACGGCUCACCAAGGCGACGAUGCGUAGCCGACCUGAGAGGGUGAUCGGCCACAUUGGGACUGAGACACGGCCCAGACUCCUACGGGAGGCAGCAGUGGGGAAUAUUGCACAAUGGGGGAAACCCUGAUGCAGCAACGCCGCGUGAGUGAUGACGGCCUUCGGGUUGUAAAGCUCUGUCUUCAGGGACGAUAAUGACGGUACCUGAGGAGGAAGCCACGGCUAACUACGUG
RNAcentral lists this ribosomal RNA (464 nucleotides) under uncultured bacterium. RNAcentral describes it as "partial 16S ribosomal RNA". It matches the Rfam family "Bacterial small subunit ribosomal RNA", at positions 28 to 507 of the family's 1533-position model. The record is from RNAcentral.